GGUCGGGAUUCAGUUUUGUUGAAUGGAGAAAUUGCGAACAACCCGGGACGGCGCGGAUGCGCGUCCGCCCGGGUCACCUUCCAGUUUGAAGGCGACCUGCGCGAAGCAACAGACGAUUAUUGCAGACGUUCGACAUGAUGAAUUGAAGCUAUGGCCGUUUGCAGGAAAGUCAACGGAGUAGAUGCGACAUGUUGGCCCGCGUACG
This 205-nucleotide unclassified non-coding RNA is filed under the name Hevea brasiliensis (rubber tree). Lineage: Eukaryota; Viridiplantae; Streptophyta; Magnoliopsida; Malpighiales; Euphorbiaceae. The record is from RNAcentral.